This 300-nucleotide ribosomal RNA is filed under the name uncultured Mariniphaga sp. RNAcentral describes it as "bacterial SSU rRNA". It matches the Rfam family "Bacterial small subunit ribosomal RNA", at positions 496 to 795 of the family's 1533-position model. The record is from RNAcentral. Lineage: Bacteria; Pseudomonadati; Bacteroidota; Bacteroidia; Marinilabiliales; Prolixibacteraceae.
GCUAACUCCGUGCCAGCAGCCGCGGUAAUACGGAGGAUGCAAGCGUUAUCCGGAUUCAUUGGGUUUAAAGGGUGCGCAGGCGGGCUGGUAAGUCAGUGGUGAAAUACUGUCGCUUAACGAUAGGGUUGCCAUUGAUACUGCUGGUCUUGAGUUUGGUUGAGGUAGGCGGAAUGUGCAGUGUAGCGGUGAAAUGCAUAGAGAUUGCACAGAACACCAAUUGCGAAGGCAGCUUACUAAACCAAAACUGACGCUGAGGCACGAAAGCGUGGGGAGCGAACAGGAUUAGAUACCCUUGUAGUC